UGCAGAGUAUUAGUCACUUAUCAAAAACAAUAGAUUGAGAAGAGAGUAUGAAAAGAAAAGGAGAUCAUUCCAGUUGUGACAAGGAGAAUGAACGACCAUCUAAAUCUGUAGAGAAGAACAGAAAUAACCAGAAUAAUUGCCUUCAAAGUCAAUCAAGCUCAACAAGACAGAGAUUAGCCGAGGAGGAUGUCCGGUCUUCUGUUGAAAUGACCUCUGUUUUUAAAAGGUUAUUUGGUGCUCUUGAAAAACACCAGAUAAACACCAAAAAUGCUUCAGUAAGAGAUCACUUAAGGAGCACACCGAAUACCCCAAGAAACAUAUGCAGAAAGACCUUCGACCAAGCUAAUAAGACUCCAGACCAGAGAAGUUGUUUUAUGUCAUUGAAGUCUCAAGUCAGCUGCUCAACAAAAGCAAACACUACACAGAGACCAAUAGAUCAGAACAAGCGAAAUAAUAAACGUAUGGCUCUUGAUGAU
Long non-coding RNA from Raphanus sativus (radish), 476 nucleotides. RefSeq lists it as uncharacterized. The record is from RefSeq and is a predicted model, not a curated record. Lineage: Eukaryota; Viridiplantae; Streptophyta; Magnoliopsida; Brassicales; Brassicaceae. The transcript is spliced from 3 exons.